RNAcentral lists this unclassified non-coding RNA (619 nucleotides) under Pseudopithomyces chartarum. RNAcentral describes it as "sequence contains 18S rRNA gene, ITS1, 5.8S rRNA gene, ITS2, 28S rRNA gene". The stretch from base 249 to 402 matches the Rfam family "5.8S ribosomal RNA". The record is from RNAcentral. Lineage: Eukaryota; Fungi; Ascomycota; Dothideomycetes; Pleosporales; Didymosphaeriaceae.
UCGUAACAAGGUUUCCGUAGGUGAACCUGCGGAAGGAUCAUUAACCUUUCAAAACAGGGUGCGUCGCGGCCCCCGAGGUGCGGAAACAAGCCUCGAGCGGUUUGGGGUCCUCCCCUUCACGCGCGCACGACUGCCAUCCUUACUUUACGAGCACCUUCUGUUCUCCCUCGGCGGGGCAACCUGCCGUUGGAACCGAAUAAACUCUUUUUGCAUCUAGCAUUACCUGUUCCGAAACAAACAAUCGUUACAACUUUCAACAAUGGAUCUCUUGGCUCUGGCAUCGAUGAAGAACGCAGCGAAAUGCGAUAAGUAGUGUGAAUUGCAGAAUUCAGUGAAUCAUCGAAUCUUUGAACGCACAUUGCGCCCCUCGGUAUUCCGUGGGGCAUGCCUGUUCGAGCGUCAUCUACACCCUCAAGCUCUGCUUGGUGUUGGGCGUCUGUCCCGCCUCCGCGCGUGGACUCGCCCCAAAUUCAUUGGCAGCGGUCCUUGCCUCCUCUCGCGCAGCACAUUGCGCUUCUUGAGGGGCUCCGGUUCGCGUCCAACAAGCACAUUUACCGUCUUUGACCUCGGAUCAGGUAGGGAUACCCGCUGAACUUAAGCAUAUCAAUAAGCGGAGGAA